GUAAGGAAUAUUGGUCAAUGGGCGCAAGCCUGAACCAGCCAUGCCGCGUGCAGGAAGACGGCCCUAUGGGUUGUAAACUGCUUUUGUCAGGGAAUAAACCCCCGCUCGUGAGCGGGGCUGAAGGUACCUGAAGAAUAAGCAUCGGCUAACUCCGUGCCAGCAGCCGCGGUAAUACGGAGGAUGCAAGCGUUAUCCGGAUUCAUUGGGUUUAAAGGGUGCGCAGGCGGAUUGGUAAGUCAGGGGUGAAAUCCCACAGCUCAACUGUGGAACUGCCUUUGAUACUGUCAGUCUAGAGUAUAGUUGAAGUGGGCGGAAUGUGUCAUGUAGCGGUGAAAUGCUUAGAUAUGACACAGAACACCGAUCGCGAAGGCAGCUCGCUAAGCUAUAACUGACGCUCAUGCACGAAAGCGUGGGGAUCAAACAGGAUUAGAAACCCCUGUAGUCC
RNAcentral lists this ribosomal RNA (445 nucleotides) under uncultured bacterium. RNAcentral's name for it is "partial 16S ribosomal RNA". It matches the Rfam family "Bacterial small subunit ribosomal RNA", at positions 354 to 796 of the family's 1533-position model. The record is from RNAcentral.